RNAcentral lists this ribosomal RNA (552 nucleotides) under uncultured bacterium. RNAcentral describes it as "partial 16S ribosomal RNA". It matches the Rfam family "Bacterial small subunit ribosomal RNA", at positions 355 to 893 of the family's 1533-position model. The record is from RNAcentral.
UGGGGAAUAUUGCACAAUGGGCGCAAGCCUGAUGCAGCCAUGCCGCGUGUGUGAAGAAGGCCUUCGGGUUGUAAAGCACUUUCAGCGAGGAGGAAGGUGGUGAACUUAAUACGUUCAUCAAUUGACGUUACUCGCAGAAGAAGCACCGGCUAACUCCGUGCCAGCAGCCGCGGUAAUACGGAGGGUGCAAAGCGUUAAUCGGAAUUACUGGGCGUAAAGCGCACGCAGGCGGUUUGUUAAGUCAGAUGUGAAAUCCCCGGGCUCAACCUGGGAACUGCAUUUGAAAACUGGCAAGCUAGAGUCUCGUAGAGGGGGGUAGAAUUCCAGGUGUAGCGGUGAAAUGCGUAGAGAUCUGGAGGAAUACCGGUGGCGAAGGCGGCCCCCUGGACGAAGACUGACGCUCAGGUGCGAAAAGCGUGGGGAGCAAAACAGGAUUAGAUACCCUGGUAGUCCACGCUGUAAAACGAUGUCGAUUUUGGAGGUUGUGCCCUUGAGGCGUGGCUUCCGGAGCUAACGCGUUAAAUCGACCGCCUGGGGAGUACGGCCGCAAGG